Molecule: long non-coding RNA, 6618 nt
Filed under: Homo sapiens (human)
Lineage: Eukaryota; Metazoa; Chordata; Mammalia; Primates; Hominidae
Description: HSALNT0378470
Source: RNAcentral
UUUUUUUCACUUUCUUUCUUUCCUUUUCUUCCUUUCUCUUUCUUUUCCUUUCAUUAUAACUCAUUCUGCAUUUCUGACUGCUCAAGCUUCAAAAUGUAUUUUGUAUCUCUCCAGUUCCCUCUAGCUCGUCUGCCACCACUCUAGUCCAAGCCAGUUUGGAAAAAGUGGCUGGAAUAUAAUAGGUCCUUCAUAAAAUAUUUGUUGAAUGAAUAAAUGUUAUGGUAUUUGGACUUGCCCCUACCCCUCUUUUUUCUUAUCUAUACUUCACACUUCUGAAAAGACAAAUCAGAUAAUGUUACUUCUCUGCUACAAAUAUUUAAUGGCUUCCACCUCUUGGAAAUCUAUUUUGCUCAUUACUGUGACCUACAAACUCUGCACACUCUAGUUCUUGCUCACCUCUCCAUUAUCUUGUUCCAUGCCUUAGAAUUCUUGCUUUCUACUCUACAAAUACACAGGUUUCUUUUCUUCCUUAAGCAUAUCUAUCUCUUAUUGCUACAAUGUUUUUGGAUGUUCAGCUUCCUCUGCCUGAAAUACAUAUAUUUUUCUAUUUUUGAAUGGUUGGUUUAGUCUUAUUUUUGAAAUCAUUGUCCCAAUGUCAUUUCUCCAGAAAGACCGUCCUUAACCUCCUCAAAAGUUUUUUCUCCAGUUACUUUACAUUACAUUACAUUUCUUAACUUACAACUCUAGAGGUCACAAAUCUGAACUAUCUUGAUUUGUUCUGGCUUGUACAAGAAGAAAAUCAAGGCAUUUGUUCUCUGGGCUCUUAUUGAGAGAGAGAGACUCUGGGAAGAAUCCAUUUUGCAACUCAAAUUGUUGGCAGAAUCCAUUUCUUUGCAGUUUGUUUGUUUUAGAUGGAGUCUCACUCUGUCACCCAGGCUGGAGUGCAAUGGUGCGAUCUUGGCUUACUGCAACCUCUGCCUUACAGGUUCAAGCAAUUCUCCUGCCUCAGCCUCCCUGAGUAGCUGGCAUUACAGGCACCCACCACCAGGCCCGGCUAAUUUUUGUAUUUUUAGUAGAGACAGGGUUUCCCCAUGUUGGCCAGGCUGGUCUCAAACUCCUGACCUCAAGUGAUCCACCUGCCUUGGCCUCCCAAAGUGCUGGGAUUACAGGCGUGAGCCACUGUGCCUGGCAGACAGUUCUUCCUUUCCUUGUUAUCUGUCAACCAAGGGAUGCUCUCUGAUUAAUGACCUAAAUCACAGGGUUUGAUUGAAUAACCAGUAGACUGGAAUCUUUGGGGGACAUAUUUAAAAUUCUACCUCUCACAGGGAAGGUGAUAAAACUUCUUAGAAGUAUAUGCAUUUAAGCAACUGUUUUUCUUCAAAGUUUUAUGAUAGGAAAAAUAAAGGAACUGUUGAACAAAGUAGGACCAAUAGAAAUGUAGAAAUGUCAUUUGGUUUGUUAAGAGACACACUAGAAGAUAAUAUUAUCUUAAAGUUAGAGAAAGAGUGGUGAAUCUUGUCAAAAUGCUACAGAGAAGAAACUAUGGCAUUUGAAAAUUAAGAUGUCAAUCAUGACUUCUGAAAAAGCAAUUUCAAAAGGGUGGUAUGGCCUGAUUUUAGUAGUUUAGGGAUGAUUUGCAUGUUAUGAAAUUGAGCAGGAAUGUUUACAGUACUAUUUUCAGCGCACUGAUAAGAAAAUAAAAGAAAAAUGGUGAAGUGGCAAUGCUCUUUGGUGGGGAUAAUUGUUGGAACAAUAUAUUUUUCUUCAAACCAGAAGCUUGCUCCUCUGAAGAUGCAGUUCAUAAAAUAAAACUGGGCCUAGAGGUCUUGCUAUAUUAUUUCUUUAGUGAUUCAGAAAUAUCUAGAGCCACAUUUAGAAAUGUAUUAUGUAAACUAUAUCAAUACACAAACUUUGGAGGACAGCUUUUAUAAAACAAAUGAGAGCUCUGUAUUAAUAUGCAAAGAUAUUAAAACAAAAAUUCUUAGUGUAUACUAAAAGCCACACACAAUAGAAAAGGAAAGCAACAGUGAUCUUGGGAUUAAAACCAACUUGAUUUAAACUCUUAUCAAAGUGAGAUUUCAAGUCUUUAUAAAGUUCUCAUGAUGUUAUUUCCUACCAGUCAUUUUCCCGUGAAGCUAAGUCCCACACAAUUUUUCUACAUUUUUGAACUUUUUUUUUCAGAUGGGCAACUGAUGGUCAGACUCCAGUGGUUCUUCAAAACUUUCUAGGAGGUAAACAAGAUGAAAGGGAAAGCACACAAAUUUGCUGGAAUUUGGAAAACACGAACCCUGGAAUUUGGAGGAGUCACUUCCACUGGAAAAUACUUUUAUAUUAUUUAUAGUGGCUACCAUUACCGUGCUCACUUUACAGGUGAGGUUCAGAGAUUUAUGUAACAUGCCAAAGGUCACACAGCUGGACACAGCAGAACCAAGAUUCAAAUCUGCACAGGUAAGCUCCACAGCCUUCUGUCUUAUCUAGGACUUUCCUAACCACCUUGAAUAUUUCAUUUUAAAAUUGAUACCUUAUUGGCUUAUAAUCUCUGCCAACAUUUUGCUAAAACCCUUUCCUACACUAUACAACCAUUCCAUUUGUUUAGAAAUUCAUCAGAGGAGAAAUAUUAAGUGGCUUUCUUUGUGACACCAUCAGAAAUACAGCUUCCCAAAUCUUUCAACUGAAGAAGUAACCAAAAAGAUAUCUGAAGGACAGAGAGAUGGAGAAAAGGAGAGGAGAUAGAAAAAGGAAGAGAGAGAGAAAGCUCAAAAUAAAUUAGUAUAUAUGCUAGCAAGAUUCCUCCCAGUAGUUGUCUUUUUCCAAUUAGAAGUGACUUGCACAGUUGCAGUACCACCUCUGUUAACCCCGGCUCACUGCCCUUCCAAACCAUGUCUUCUGUUACUCUCAAUCUAUGUCGAAUAGUCCCUCAGCUCUCAUAACGGGACCAAAUUCAUGGCUGCUUCCUGAUACAGCUGUGUCCUGUUACAAGGCUUGAAGUUACAUAAUGUAAGUUUACUCCAUUGUAAGUUUUACCAAUGCAUUUAACUUAACAAGGUUCUAAAACUGUCAUAAAGUUAUUUACAACAGUUACUGAAAAAGAUCAUCUCUGAAAACAAGGAAAAGCUGUUCUUUCUCCCACACCCACACACAACCUGAGGUUCACCAAUGAAUGCAUGCUCAGCUUCUGUCCUCCCAAGCAUUUCAUAAGAUAGGGUUUUUGGAUUUUUCACCUUUAUGCACGUGCAAUUAGCUUAAAAAUGUCCACAAAACUGUGUAACUUUUAAGCCUUUUUUUUCUCCUUUACUGAACUAUGUAUUGAAAUGUGGAAUAUGGAAGGUUACAGGGUUCAGAAUCAACAAACCUAGAGAUAAGAAUAGCUAUCAACACCAGACAAGAUAGAGGACUAUGACAGAAUUAGAAAAAGGGGAAUGAUAAUAUGUGUGUGUGUGUGCGUGUGUGUGUGUUUUGCAGUUGAAUAUUGCAUUACUAUCCCAGGGCUACUGCAACAAAUUACUACAAACUGGGUGGCUUAAAACAACAGAAAAAUUAUUCUCUCAAAGUUCUGGGGACCAGAAGUCCGAAAUCAAGGAACUGGCAGGGCGGUACUCCUCCUGAAGGCUCAAAAGGACAAUCCUUUCCUGCCUCUGCCAGCUGCUAGUGGCUCCGGGAGUCCCUGGUUUGUGGCUGCAUUACUCUGGUCUCUGCCUUGUCUUCUCGUGGCCUUCUUCCCAGUGUCUUCCCAUUUCUGUUUCCUAUUAGGACCCUAUCAUUGGAUUUAGGGCCCUCACACUAAUCUACAGUGAUCUCAUCUCAAGAUCCUUACCUAUAUUAUAUCUGUAAAGACUCUUAUGUCAAAUAAGGUCCCCUUCUGAGAUUCUGGGUGUUAAGACUUGGACAUAUAUCUUUGAGACCCAAUUCAAUUCACUGCAAAUGUGUUCUUGUUUAUAAGUUACAUUUUUCUCUGAAUAGUACCAUUCCUUAUGGUUAUGGAGUUAAAACACCCUUUCUUUUAUGAAAGGAUAGUAAUUUUGUUUGUAUAUUGUAUUAGCCUGUUCUGACAUUGCUAUAAACAUUGCUAUAAAAAAACUACCAAGACUGGGUAACUUAAAAGAAAAAGGGUUUAAUUGGCUUAUGGUUGUGAAAGCUAUACAGGAAGCAUGGCUCCGGGAGGCCUCAGGAAACUUACAGUCAUGGCAGAAGGGGAGGGUGGAGCCAGCAUGUCCUACGUGGCUGGAGCAAGAGGAAGAGAGAGCAAAGGAGGAUGUUUGAACAACCAGAUCUUGUGAGAAUUUAAUCACUAGAAUGCACUAGGCGGAUGGUGAAAAACCAUUAGAAACCAGCCCCACAAUCCAAUCACCUCCCACCAGGCCCACCUCCAACAUUGGGAAUUACAAUUUAACAUGAGAUUUGGGUGGGGGCAGAGCUGUAUUAUAUAUGUAUAUAAUAUGUAUUGUUAUAUAAUACAUAUUGUUAUAUAAAUAUAUAAUAAUGAUUUAAUGUUCAUAUCAUCCAUAUUAUAUAUGUAUGUGUAUAUGUGUGCAUGAUUACCAUAUUAUAUAUGUAUAUGUGUGUGUAUGAUUAUAUGAUUAUAUAUGUAUGUGUUAUAUAUGUAUUAUAUAUGUAUGCGUAUAUGACUAUAUGUGUAUCAUAGUACUUUUUUGACAAAAUUAAAAAUCGACAAUUCAAUAUCAGUUGUCACAUUAAAACAAAAAUGCUCCAGGAAAUCCCAGUCCAGAUGUGAUUACAAACCAACCCCACCUUUCUGAGCCUAUUUCGUUAUCUUCAAAUGAGAUAAUGUCUGAUUUUUAUAUAUUUGACUUUCAAAUAAUUUGCGCUUUGUACAUAAUACAUGGGGACCUCUGAACACGUUUUCUGAAACACAUAUCUGACUUUCUUACACCAGAAGACCAAUAAAUAUUUGAAGCUAUUCUCCAGUGACACUGCCUGCGAUUCAGGUCUUCAAUUGGGGCAUUUCACCAUCUUUUUUUUACAGUAGGUGCUGUGGACUGAAUGUUUGUGUCCCCUGAAAAAUUCAUACGUUAAAUCCCUAAUCUGCAAGAUGAUGGUAUUUGGAGGUGGGGCCUUUGGGAGGUGAUUAAUCAUGAGAGUGGAGCUUUCAAGACAGAAUGUGUGCCCUUAUAAGAUGAGAUACAAAAAAUCUUACCUUUCUUUCUUCUUGUGAGGACAUCUUGAAAAGACUAUCAUCUGUAAACCAGGAAGAGGGCCCUUUUCAGACACUGAAUCUUCUGGCACCUUGCUUUUGGACAUUCCAGCCUCCAGAACUGUGAGAAAUAAAUGUCUGUGGUUUAAGCCACCUGGUCUAUGGUAUUUGUUAUGGCAACCCAAGCUGACUAAGACAGUAGGGUUUGUAAAAUUAUGUGAAUUUUUUGUUUGGCAUUUAACGAUAUGUUUUGAAAUAAGAAAAUGAUAACAUGAAAAUAAGACUCAGUCUCAAACCUAAUGGAACUAGACACAAGGAAGAGAAGUAGGUAGGCUGAAAGGGUGACAUUUAGUCUCAAUUGGACACACAAAGUGUGCAGAUGUGAGUCUAAUUUGAAGUAAAAUGACAGAAUUAAUAACUAUAUAUAAGUGGUGGAUAAAUAGCUUCAAUGAUUACAUCAACAAAGUGCAUCAUGUUGCAGGUCCAUCGUAUAUGUGCAUCUUGAAUAAAUUUAUUUCCUUCGUAUAACUGUCAUUUCCAUUGUCUGACAUAUUUAGGGAUUUUAACGUGGUAUGAAAAUAGGGCACUUUCUGUGGUUAUAGUCAUAAUCAUAGCAAUGGAUUAGUAGUAGCAGAAGUUCCAGUAUUAGUAGAAAUAGUGAAAAACAGUACAACAGCAGUAAAGUAAAAUAACGCUAUUGUAUUACAUUAAAUGUGAUAAUGCACACAACGUUCUAUAACCUAUUAAGCUUGAGACAAAUGUUAAUUAUUUUCUGCAUUGUUGUAUGGUCUCCAUUUUGCAAUAAAUGCUCAAUUAUGCAUUGAUUAAUUAGGGAUGUCUUAUUGACCUGCUUGGUAACUUAGUUCUUACUCGUACUUUACUAAUCAGAAAAUUAAGCUCUUCAAUCCAAGGUCAGGCCUCAGGAAGGGGUGGAUGAGAGCCAAAUUUAACCUGCCGCUGGUUAAUGAUUUUAUGUUUGAAUAUAAAACCUGCAGGCUUGACAUGCAGUCACCUUCCUUUUGCCUUGUAGCUGAGUGUUCUACAUGUUUAUGUCGUAUGGCCCCUGAAAGAAUUCGUAUUUGAAGCUCUGGGAGGAACCUACCUUCUGUGGUUCAAUGACACGGCUAAUGUGGGCUGUAUUAUUCUUCUCACAGACUCCUAUCUCCCAUGAUAUUACUCAUUUUUCUGUUUGACUUUUACAUUGAUUUUCCACUGAUACUUUUCUGAUUAAUGAGACCCCUGUUAUGAAUUAUGAAGCAUUGUGAGAAUGCUUUCACUUAUCUGUGAAUUAUAUCUGUGGCUUAAUUUUUAUCUCGUCUAGAGCAAUCAGGGACUCUGGCUUCUCAAGAGACUCUCAGCAUGGAAGCCUUCCUGAAAGCCCUGUGUGGAGGUGGUAAGCCUCCCUGAAAUAGACUUCUUAGAGAAGGAAGCAGAACAGAAUGUUCACAUAAAAGUGCUAGGUUGGAUAAUAAUCAUAUUUAGCACUUACAUAGCAGUUUUCAUUUCCCAAACACUUUAUAAACAGC